Molecule: ribosomal RNA, 253 nt
Filed under: uncultured bacterium
Lineage: Bacteria
Description: partial 16S ribosomal RNA
Rfam family: Bacterial small subunit ribosomal RNA
Source: RNAcentral
UACAGAGGUCCCAAGCGUUGUUCGGAUUCACUGGGCGUAAAGGGUGCGUAGGUGGUGGGGAAAGUUCGAUGUGAAAGCUCCGAGCUUAACUCGGAAAUGGCAUUGAAAACUACCCUGCUUGAGGGUUGGAGGGGGGACUGGAAUUCUCGGUGUAGCAGUGAAAUGCGUAGAUAUCGAGAGGAACACCAGUGGCGAAGGCGAGUCCCUGGACAACUCCUGACACUGAGGCACGAAAGCUAGGGGAGCAAACAGG